This 922-nucleotide long non-coding RNA is filed under the name Mus musculus (house mouse). Its description in RNAcentral is "lincRNA-EC74". The record is from RNAcentral. Lineage: Eukaryota; Metazoa; Chordata; Mammalia; Rodentia; Muridae.
GGUUCUUUCAAAGGAAGCCUGCUCCGUGUCUGGGUCUGACUCCUUUGCUCAGCUGCUCACUAGGAACCUAGCUGAAACUUUGUGACCUCAGGAUGAGCCCUAGAACAAUGAAGUAAAGCAAAAUUGAUAUUCCAGAGUGGAUGGCGGCCUCCAAGAGAGAGAAGAGAGCACAGUACCUUCCAAGUCAGAGAAGAGUGGAAGUGAAAGCCCGGAGGAGAUGAAGACAAAGGCGUGUGCAGGAAUGUGGAAGAUCUAUGUGUCUGGAUGGUGGAGAGCUUUUCCACAAUGUGAUUUACUGCCGGAGGAUGAGAUGCUUUGUACAGACGCAGAGGCAGCAAGGUGCAAAUGACCACGGCCUGAAACCUCUGACAGCAUGAGCUAAAUUCGAUUAUCUUCUAAAUACCACAAACUUUUCAAAUGAAAAGUCUAGGGAUUCAGCGAUGCCUCAGUCCUUACGAUCAUGUGUUGCGUGGCUUUUGCAGAGGACCUAGGUACAGUCUCCAGCACGUACAUGCAGUACCAGCAGAUGUGACACUCUCUUCUGACCAGGCAUGCAUGUGGUACAUAGACAUACAUGCAGGCAAGCCACUUAAUAUGUAUACGUAUAUGUAUAUGUAGAUAUAUAGAAAUGCAUCUAAAAGAAAAAGGGAAAAACUAUAGGGAAAUCGCAUAUUUAACCACCCAAGUUAAUUGGAGCAUGAUUCAAAUGCUCAGUUCAAUGAUGAUAUAUGUGCACUACUGAAAUCCAAAUAAAAAUAAACAUGCCAUUGGCUUGCAGAAUGCUCUGUUGUGGUCUUCAUAUCCAAUCUCCUACUCCUACAUGACACUCGAGACCAGUGCUGGUCAGCUUUCUCAAACUGGAGACUGAAUUUGCCUGCUCCAGAACCCUGACGAAGUAGAAGCCCGCAACACACAUUUCCAC